GACAGAGGGUGCAAACGUUGUUCGGAAUUACUGGGCGUAAAGCGCGUGUAGGCGGCCAUGCAAGUCGGAUGUGAAAGCCCUCGGCUCAACCGGGGAAGUGCACUCGAAACUGCAAGGCUAGAGUCUCGGAGAGGAUCGUGGAAUUCUCGGUGUAGAGGUGAAAUUCGUAGAUAUCGAGAGGAACACCGGUGGCGAAGGCGGCGAUCUGGACGAUGACUGACGCUGAGACGCGAAAGCCAGGGGAGCAAACGGG
Molecule: ribosomal RNA, 253 nt
Filed under: uncultured bacterium
Lineage: Bacteria
Description: partial 16S ribosomal RNA
Rfam family: Bacterial small subunit ribosomal RNA
Source: RNAcentral